UUCUGUUUUCUGCUCCUCCCCUGCAACUACCACUAAACCUCUGUUUGCUCAGUUGUAAAACAAAGCAUUUGAAUAUAUGAGACAAAAAUUAAAGAGAUACAACAAAAAGCCACAAGAGUCACAUCUGUUACUGAAUGUAAUGUGGAUCAAGCAAUUGUUUAGUUGCACGUCUGAAUGGCUAUAGGAGCCAGCCAGGCAAUGAAAGUGAAUGAAAUGGUCAAGGUGGAAGACAAUAAGGAAUAGAAGGAAUGGAGAUCAAAUGUCCAGUAGAAAGGUGGACGCUCCUUCUCAAGCCCUGGAUGUCAUUCUCAUAUUAGAAGGUCUCCCAAAGAUGAGAGAGAGUCUAGAGAACAAAGUGAUGCCCUGAUUCUAGCAGAUGACCCAUAUUAAUAGACAUUCUACAAGAAGAGCACAACAGAAAUUGCUAGUUUAAAUGAAUGAUACCCUGUAUUAAACACAAAGACUUCCAGUGACUUCUAUAUGAAUUCAAUAAACUUCAAUUACUAUACACUUGAAAACAUCUAAGUUGUUAAUCCAAUGGACCAAAUACUCUCAGAAUUUCUACCUUUCUCAAGUCUUCUACAACGAAAAUUCAGUUACAACAAGAGAUCCCAGAUGGACUCCCUGGCAGUGAAUGGCCAGAGCUGAUUCACAAACUCACCUCCAGAGCUUGGUGUGGCUUCAACCUCAGAGUCAUUACAGGAACUGAAAGUGAAAGAUAAGUGUCUCCUCAAUGAAAUGGAGAUUCUGUUGCAAGAAUAGGUGAAUUGUUGCUGGGAAAUCUCUCAACAGAUUUGUACUGCAUCAGGCACCACUUGUCUAUCACUACCCAUUGGCCUAACUACUCUUGUGGUGGCUAGUGCCUUGAAAGCAUAAACAAGUUUUGUGAAGGGGCAACCCAAGACAUCCUGAAGUCCAACCUUUAUUUCAUACACUUGAUUCUUGCUCUGAACCUUUUUGCUUCUAUGGUGAAGGUCACAUAGAGGAAGCAUCUCAGCCUUCACACAUGUGGAACCUGGAAAUGUGAAGGAGUUAACCCUCCUUAGGUCACUCUUGAUCACUGAGAUGGAAAAAAAAGCCUAUGUUGAUAUGAACUGAAAAUAAAUGUGAAAUAAGUUCCAUUAGCAAAUGCGAAGAAGAGGAAAUUUGGAAAAAAGUUACACAGUGUGCACAGAGCAAAGACCAUGUGAGGUCACAGCAAGAAAGUGGCUUCUGUAAGCCAAGAAGAGAAGAAACCAAACCCGCUGACACCUUGAUCUUGAACUUCUAGCCUUAAGGACUGUGAGAAAAUAAAUUUUUGUACUUUAAGCAAAUCCAUCUGUGGUACUUACGAUGGCAGCUCUAGCAAACUAAUAUAGGCAGUGAUUUCAAAAUUUCUGAUAUUACAAUAGUAGAAGCAUGGAGAAGUUAUUUUAGAGGUAAAAAUCUACCAGACAUGACAACAGAUUGGAUGCUUGGCAUAAGUGAGAAAAAGAAGCAACCCUCUGUUAAAUACCCUUUAAAAUUAAAUUAUAAAGUGAACUCACACAUAUUGUUUCGUUGAUAAAUUCUUAGGGUAAGUAUGCAAAAUCCGUGAUAAUACACCAUGUGGCAGUGCCAGUCUAUUAUAUCCCUUAGCAUAUAUGGAAGUUUGUUGUUUCUUCAUCUUGCUUAAAGGCAGGAGAGAUCCAUAAAACAGCACUUCACAUUUAUGAUACUAAAUUCACCUCCCUUGAAUAGUAGGCUAUGCCAAUGCCUGGAAACAAAAGCAAGCUGAGUAGUUUUACAAAGGCUCAGGGUUGUUCCUACAGCUGCAGCUUGAUAGUGGCAUUGGGAAAUUAAAACUUUUUAGCUCUCCCUAAGCUGUUUUCUUACAGAUGGUACUGGGAGUUGAAUUUUGUAUGUGUGUUGUAUAUGAUGGUGGUUCUGGCCAAGAAGAAAAAGCUCAUAAGACCAUCCACUCUCUCAUUCAAUUUCCUAGAGCAAAAAUCAAAUUAAGAUAAGAAUAUUAAUAGGUAACUGCAGUCUUUUAAAAAUAUAGGUUUGAACUGAGGAUUUUAAGUGACUUCUUUGGGGUUUACUUACUUCAUAUAUACUCUAUAAAUCAUGUAGGCAUUUAUUACUACUGUAAAAUGGAAUUUGUAGAACUGACUGUAUUAACUCAUAAGUUUGAAGUAUACAUUUUCUGUAAUAUAUAGGCUGGUUUAUAAAGUGGUAUACAUAAAAAUGACA
Canis lupus familiaris (dog) is the source of this 2211-nucleotide long non-coding RNA. RefSeq lists it as uncharacterized. The transcript is spliced from 6 exons. Lineage: Eukaryota; Metazoa; Chordata; Mammalia; Carnivora; Canidae. The record is from RefSeq and is a predicted model, not a curated record.